RNAcentral lists this ribosomal RNA (330 nucleotides) under uncultured bacterium. Its description in RNAcentral is "bacterial SSU rRNA". It matches the Rfam family "Bacterial small subunit ribosomal RNA", at positions 568 to 898 of the family's 1533-position model. The record is from RNAcentral.
CACGUAGGCGGGUUGCUAAGUCGGAGGUGAAAUCCUGGAGCUCAACUCCAGAACUGCCUUCGAUACUGGCGAUCUUGAGUCCGGGAGAGGUGAGUGGAACUGCGAGUGUAGAGGUGAAAUUCGUAGAUAUUCGCAAGAACACCAGUGGCGAAGGCGGCUCACUGGCCCGGUACUGACGCUGAUGUGCGAAAGCGUGGGGAGCAAACAGGAUUAGAUACCCUGGUAGUCCACGCCGUAAACGAUGGAUGCUAGCCGUUGGCGAGCUUGCUCGUCAGUGGCGCAGCUAACGCUUUAAGCAUCCCGCCUGGGGAGUACGGUCGCAAGAUUAAA